This 84-nucleotide transfer RNA is filed under the name Volvox carteri f. nagariensis. It matches the Rfam family "tRNA". Rfam says of the family: Transfer RNA (tRNA) molecules are approximately 80 nucleotides in length. Their secondary structure includes four short double-helical elements and three loops (D, anti-codon, and T loops). Lineage: Eukaryota; Viridiplantae; Chlorophyta; Chlorophyceae; Chlamydomonadales; Volvocaceae. The record is from Rfam by way of RNAcentral.
GUCGCCAUCGUAUAGUGGUCAGUAUCCCCGCCUGUCAGCAUAACUGGUGCGCGGGAGGCCGGGGUUCGAUUCCCCGUGACGGCG